UACGUAGGUGGCGAGCGUUGUCCGGAAUUACUGGGUGUAAAGGGAGCGUAGGCGGGAAGGUAAGUUGGAUGUGAAAUACCGCAGCUCAACUGCGGGGCUGCAUCCAAAACUAUCUUUCUUGAGUGAAGUAGAGGCAGGCGGAAUUCCUAGUGUAGCGGUGAAAUGCGUAGAUAUUAGGAGGAACACCAGUGGCGAAGGCGGCCUGCUGGGCUUUAACUGACGCUGAGGCUCGAAAGCGUGGGGAGCAAACAGGAUUAGAUACCCUGGUA
This 269-nucleotide ribosomal RNA is filed under the name uncultured prokaryote. RNAcentral describes it as "partial 16S ribosomal RNA". It matches the Rfam family "Bacterial small subunit ribosomal RNA", at positions 524 to 792 of the family's 1533-position model. The record is from RNAcentral.